UCGGUAAUUCCAGCUCCAAUAGCGUAUAUUUAAGUUGUUGUAGUUAAAAAGCUCGUAGUUGGAUUUCGGGUGGGAACGACCGGUCCGCCGCUCUGGUGUGUACUGUUCGCGCCCAUCUUGCUGUCGGGGACGCGCUCGUGGCCUUAACUGGUUGUGACGUGGAAUCGGCGAUGUUACUUUGAAAAAAUUAGGGUGUUCAAAGCAGGCUUACGCAUUGAAUACAUUAGCAUGGAAUAACGCGAUAGGACUCCGAUCCUAUUGUGUUGGUCUUCGGGACUGGAGUAAUGAUUAAGAGGGACAGUUGGGGGCAUUCGUAUUUCAUUGUCAGAGGUGAAAUUCUUGGAUUUAUGAAAGACGAACUUCUGCGAAAGCAUUUGCCAAGGAUGUUUUCAUUAAUCAAGAACGAAAGUUGGGGGCUCGAAGACGAUCAGAUACCGUCCUAGUCUCAACCAUAAACGAUGCCGACUAGGGAUUGGCGGAUGUUAAUUCGAUGACUCCGCCAGCACCUUAUGAGAAACCAAAGUUUUUGGGUUCCGGGGGGAGUAUGGUCGCAAGGCUGAAACUUAAAGGAAUUGACGGAAGGGCACCACCAGGAGUGGAGCCUGCGGCUUAAUUUGACUCAACACGGGA
This 630-nucleotide ribosomal RNA is filed under the name uncultured marine eukaryote. RNAcentral's name for it is "SSU rRNA". It matches the Rfam family "Eukaryotic small subunit ribosomal RNA", at positions 576 to 1210 of the family's 1831-position model. The record is from RNAcentral.